GAUGAACGCUGGCGGCGUGCCUAAUACAUGCAAGUCGAGCGAACAGACGAGGAGCUUGCUCCUCUGACGUUAGCGGCGGACGGGUGAGUACCACGUGGAUAACCUACCUAUAAGACUGGGAUAACUUCGGGAACCCGGAGCUAAUACCGGAUAAUAUAUUGAACCGCAUGGUUCAAUCGUGCAAGCCGUUUUUGCUGUCCCUUAUUGAUGGAUCCACGCCGCAUUAGCUAGUUGGUAAGGUAACGGCUUACCAAGGCAACGAUGCGUAGCCGACCUGAGAGGGUGAUCGGCCACACUGGAACUGAGACACGGUCCAGACUCCUACGGGAGGCAGCAGUAGGGAAUCUUCCGCAAUGGGCGAAAGCUUGACGGAGCAACGCCGCGUGAGUGAUGAAGGUCUUCGGAUCGUAAAACUCUGUUAUUAGGGAAGAACAAAUGUGUGAGUAACUAUGCACGUCUUGACGGUACCUAAUCAGAAAGCCACGGCUAACUACGUG
Molecule: ribosomal RNA, 497 nt
Filed under: uncultured bacterium
Lineage: Bacteria
Description: partial 16S ribosomal RNA
Rfam family: Bacterial small subunit ribosomal RNA
Source: RNAcentral